RNAcentral lists this ribosomal RNA (75 nucleotides) under Shewanella sp. cp20. The record is from RNAcentral. Lineage: Bacteria; Pseudomonadati; Pseudomonadota; Gammaproteobacteria; Alteromonadales; Shewanellaceae.
ACCAUAGCAUUGUGGUCCCACCUGAUCCCAUCCCGAACUCAGAAGUGAAACGCAAUCGCGCCGAUGGUAGUGUGG